CCACCAACGCGUUGUGCAUCGUGCGAUGCAACCGGUGACAUCAAAUGCAAUAUUUGCGCUACCGUUACUAAUCCGGGCGAGGGCGAUCAGACUUGCCGUGUGUGCAAGAAAGUUCUAAUCGAGAAUGCCGAGGGUGCGGGAGUGGGUGACGGCCAUGGCGAUGGCGAGGGUCAAGGUCAGGAUGAUGGUGAUAGGGCGAGGAUGAGGAUGCGGUGUAGGAUGUGAAAUAUAUCGGAUUUGAUUUUUAAGUACACGUUUGGAGAGAGUGUUGUAUGGUUCCAAAUUAAGAACAAUCAUCAAGGGCCCUCCUCCUAAGGGUGUGGAGUACUCUGAUAAUGAUUUAGUUUUUGUUUUCAUAGAUGCUAAUUAAAUAGGAACCAACAAUUUUGGGGUGAUAUCAUAGCUUUAUCAGCUGGCACAAGCUUGGUACAUUUUAUGAGAUCACUACUUAUCAUGUUAAAUAUUAGGUCUUUGGCAAGGAGGCAGAAGACAGACAUCUUGAUAUGUGUUCAUGGAAGGUAUUUUCAUCUGCACAAGGGCUUUGGGUGUUUUCAUUCAUCAUAUUCCUCGGAUUUGGCGUGACAAUGUUUCAGCACUAGCCAUUGCCACAAAUCAUGUCCAGGGGCAGAACAUAUAUGAAUUCAAAACAAAUCAUGAAGAAUGGGUAAAUUUAGUCAAACCCAAGCUAGGACCUGAUGUGUCUGAUCGAGUUCUUGCAGCAAUUAAUACCACACACGAGAACAUUAAAAUUUUAUAUAAAGUCAGAAUUGUGAUGUGGGCUGCCCUUCAAAAUCUCUUAAAGGAGAUUGGAAGCUUGACUUUUGACAAAGAUGAUCAGUUAGCUAAGGAGUUUGUUAUUGCUGCUGCAAAUACAAGGAUGUCUUCUUUUUUGAACCUCUUUGCAUAGCCUAUUUAAAGCCAAAGGUCCAGAACAACACCAUAUACUGAAGCUGAGGGAUGUGUAUGGAGGCCACUUUAGUAGACAAUGAUUUGCGUUACAGAUGUGCUCUUGUGAUUCAUGGAAUGCAAUCAUGUCAUUUUGUAGGAGGUUAAACAAGAAUGAAUGAUCCACAAGAGACACACACUUUGUUCCAAAUCAGUUAUGAAAUGAGGUACAUUGUUUAUGAAAUAAGGCAUCAAAAGAACUUAGUGAUUAAUGAGAUCUCAUGCACAUUGAAGAGGACCCAACUAUAGAUGUCUGGAUGGUAGAUGUGAGUCAUUGUGUUUUUAAAAUUUCCAAUGAAUUGGUCUUGAAGGUAGAUGAACAAUGUAAAUUUAAGAGUGUAAAGAGCAGUAGGCAAAGUAGUUGAGUUGUAUUGAUUUUUACAGUUUAUUUGUUAUUAAAUUUUGAUUAAUGUGAAA
Long non-coding RNA from Quercus lobata, 1362 nucleotides. RefSeq lists it as uncharacterized. The record is from RefSeq and is a predicted model, not a curated record. NCBI's taxonomy places the organism in Eukaryota, Viridiplantae, Streptophyta, Magnoliopsida, Fagales, Fagaceae. The transcript has 8 exons.